GCAACUGGCUGAAACUUCUGUCACCCCCACCCCAUUGAUUGACAGGGUUGAUUCUGCUGAUCUGGCUGGCUAGUCGGAUGCCCCCUUCCUCCCUCACCACUCCAUGUGCAUCCCUCCCAAAACUGAAUGCUCAGUCAAAGAGGAUGACCUUCCCCGAGCAGAGGAGGACCAGUCUAUGCACCCCUGCUAGAACCUCUAAACCAGCUCUCAAGGUCCAUUUGAACAUUCCUUUUUUAAUUAAUUUUUUUCGUUUUACAAACCAACUACAGUUUCCUCUCCCUUGUUUUGUUACUGAUUUUAGUGGAAUUGCUUUGAGU
This is a non-coding RNA of Mesocricetus auratus (golden hamster), 317 nucleotides long. The record is from Rfam. NCBI's taxonomy places the organism in Eukaryota, Metazoa, Chordata, Mammalia, Rodentia, Cricetidae.